UUUUUUUUUUUUUACUUUUUCUAAUUAAUUUACCUAAAAUCAUUUUAACCAACAUAAGUGAGAUACAUGAAAAUAAAUAAAUUACAUUUAUGAUCAUUAAAAUGUAUCCAAAUAAUCACUACAUAUUUUCUAACUAAAAUUUAGAUAAGAGACUACUAAUACAAAUUAAUCAUAUACUUAAUAAUAUGUAAAAAGUGUCAAAAUGCAUUACUUAAAUUUACAAAUAUCUAAAUAUCAUGUCUGAAUGCUAAGUUAAAAAAAUUAAAAUUGAUAAGUUAUUUUGAAAAAAGAUACGGACCUUUUGACUGAUGCUUGGAUUUAAGAUUAGGAACCUAAUCUCUUAAUUACUUGGGCCAAAGCUGGACUUUACAUGCUUCUAAUUUUUCCUUCAAUUUUUUUCCCUAUGGCUGGGUUCGGUACAAAAGCUCAUCUUCUGUUUAGUGCAGCCGCAAGUCCUUCAGUUUGUUUAGUGCACUUGCGGAUUCUUCCCUUCGGUUUGUUUAGUGCAGCCGCAAGUCACUGGAUUCUUCCCUUCAAUUUUAGCCAUUUCUUCCUCUGACUCUUCCCUUCAUUUUUUUUCCCAAUUUCCGUUGAUCAGUUUUUUCACCUCCUUCACGGCCAAAUAAGGUGGAAAUUGAAGAGCCGGCCGUCACCUUUACUCUUUCUUUUGCUUUCCCUUUCCCGCUAUUGUUGUCUUCCUCCAACAGCCUGCCGUCACCUCUGUUUUGAGCCGCAGCCGGACGAUGAAGAAAUUGCAGAACCGAUCGGCUUGUUUCUCCAGCCGGCCGUCACCUUUAUUCUGGAGUGAACCUCAAAAACUAGUGAUGGAUUGCAGAAAUUGCAAAACAAUGAAGAAAUUGCAGAACGAUGAAGAAAUUGCAGAAAUUGCUGGUAUGCUUCUCUUUAUCCCCACUUUUUCCUUGUCUUUGUGGCUGCAAAAUGAAACAAUAAAGCAUGGGAAAAGACUGCAACAACCGUGUGGACCACCCCUUGUAAUUGUAGUUUUGUUUGGUUUUGUAAAAGGCUCUGCAACAGCCGUAGCUAACUGUGGUGCGAUGCCUUAUGUGUUCUUUCGGUGUCGGUUCCUUUUUUGUUUGGUUUUGGCUUCCCAGUUGGUGUGUAAAUUUGUUAGCCGAUACAUAUCCGAGUUGAAUCCGAAAAUUUGGCCGUUAUCUUGCUACACGGUGCUAAUUCGGACGAUAUCGGCUGAUUCGGAGCGAUUCAAAUCGGAUAUGGUGGAAUCGGUGUUUCGGGUAUCGGUAUCGGAACGGCACCUGCCGUUCCGGUUAUGACUCUGCCAAGUCGUCUCGGACUCGGCCGAGUUGGCGAACCCUGGACUCAAUGGGAAUGAUACUGUACCGGCACUCUAGAAAAGUUCAAGCUUUGACACCUUUGCAAACUGAGGCGUUGGCCUGCUUACAUGCUCUCAGAUAUCUUCUAACUAUUCCCUGCAAUUCUGUUGAUAUUAAAACUGACUCCCUUUGUUAUUGCAAUAGAUUGAGGAUCCGGCCAAGUCGCCCCAACUGGUGCGGGCUAUUGUGGAAGACAUCUUAUGUUUAUGUAGUUGUUUCUCUUUCGUUCGAGUAGUCAAGGUUUGUAGCAAGACUGUAGCUAAAGCUCAUGCUUUAGCCAAUGUAAUCAGAGGUUCAUAAUGCAAGUUUUAUUUUCUUCUCAAAAAAAAAAAAGACAAGUUCACAAAUAGGAUUUAGGAACAAAUACCUAAAGUUUCAUGGUAUUUCAUAUUUUCCCUAGAAUGUUUUAAAUAAUUAUAAUCAUUACCCUAAUAUUGUCAAAUAUUUGUUUAUAGCCUUAAAUUUUGAUAUAUAUUCUCAAAUAAGUCC
RNAcentral lists this long non-coding RNA (1841 nucleotides) under Coffea arabica (coffee). RNAcentral's name for it is "long non-coding RNA (CARA_LNC004562)". Lineage: Eukaryota; Viridiplantae; Streptophyta; Magnoliopsida; Gentianales; Rubiaceae. The record is from RNAcentral.